This is a non-coding RNA of Eleginops maclovinus (Patagonian blennie), 69 nucleotides long. The record is from the annotation of a RefSeq genome assembly. Lineage: Eukaryota; Metazoa; Chordata; Actinopteri; Perciformes; Eleginopidae.
AGUAAAAUCAGCUAAAUAAGCUAUCGGGCCCAUACCCCUAAAAUGUAGGUUAAAAUCCUUCUUUUGCUA